This 30-nucleotide non-coding RNA is filed under the name Mus musculus (house mouse). Lineage: Eukaryota; Metazoa; Chordata; Mammalia; Rodentia; Muridae. The record is from RNAcentral.
UCCCCACUGAGACCUAAUCUGGAGAAAAGU